Molecule: transfer RNA, 73 nt
Filed under: Poecilia formosa (Amazon molly)
Lineage: Eukaryota; Metazoa; Chordata; Actinopteri; Cyprinodontiformes; Poeciliidae
Rfam family: tRNA
About the family: Transfer RNA (tRNA) molecules are approximately 80 nucleotides in length. Their secondary structure includes four short double-helical elements and three loops (D, anti-codon, and T loops). Further hydrogen bonds mediate the characteristic L-shaped molecular structure. tRNAs have two regions of fundamental functional importance: the anti-codon, which is responsible for specific mRNA codon recognition, and the 3' end, to which the tRNAs corresponding amino acid is attached (by aminoacyl-tRNA synthetases). tRNAs cope with the degeneracy of the genetic code in two manners: having more than one tRNA (with a specific anti-codon) for a particular amino acid; and 'wobble' base-pairing, i.e. permitting non-standard base-pairing at the 3rd anti-codon position.
Source: Rfam by way of RNAcentral
GUUUCUGUAGUGUAGUGGUUAUCACGUUUGCUUUACACGCAAAAGGUCUCUGGUUCAAAACCAGAUAGAAACG